This 373-nucleotide long non-coding RNA is filed under the name Phoenix dactylifera (date palm). RNAcentral describes it as "long non-coding RNA (PDAC_LNC001894)". Lineage: Eukaryota; Viridiplantae; Streptophyta; Magnoliopsida; Arecales; Arecaceae. The record is from RNAcentral.
GAGCACAGAAGGCCGAGACCAGAGAGCCGAGCACAGAAGGCCGAGACCAGAAGGCCGAGACCCGAAGGCCGAGCACAGAAGGCCGAGCACAGCAGGCCGAGACCAGAAGGCCGAGACCCGAAGGCCAAGCACAGCAGGCCGAGCACAGAAGGCUAAGACCAGCAGGACGAGACCAGAAGGCUGAGCUGAUAUCAGAAGGCCGACCUCGUCGUUUAUAUGCUGCGGCCAUGCCCUGCAGCAGCCUCACCGCACCAUGCUUUACUUGCCGGCCACGCCAUGACAUAUCAAUCAAGGACCAUACCCUGCUACGACUGUCAACGCCUCACCAUUCCCAAGAAUGUACUGCACUGCGCGCCACAAGCAAGCUCUGGCU